Molecule: long non-coding RNA, 1501 nt
Organism: Lactuca sativa (garden lettuce)
Lineage: Eukaryota; Viridiplantae; Streptophyta; Magnoliopsida; Asterales; Asteraceae
Source: RefSeq, a predicted model, not a curated record
CAAGACUAUCGGUCGUCAUUUCAGAAAAAUUAUUUGAUAUCCGGCUCAAAGGCACACGAAUCAAGAAAGUUAGAAAACAUCACUGUUAUAGAUAUUCCAAACAUGACAUUGUACUUUGACACUUUGAGUCAUGCAUAGUUGAAUUUACACUUUGAAUCUACAUUUAUAUUUUUACCACAUCACUCAAUAAUAUACAAAAUACAUGUUUAUACAUUUCAAAUUCAUGUUAAUACAUACAAAAAUACAUGUUAAUAAUUGAAGCAAUACAGUGCUUCUAAAUUUACCUCAAAGUACAACAAUAAAUAAAAUUGACAAGGAUCUUAAAUUGGUUCAUACUUCACCUUAUCUCUUUUCUUUAUUCUUUCUUCUUCGUGAUUGACUACUCAAAGAAAAACCACCGGUGGUGGUAGCUGUUUCCGGCGAAGACCAAGAGGGGGCAGCAUCCCCGUUUUCUUCCUCCAUCUCUUUCCUGUCAAUUGAAGCAAGCCAAACACACCCUAUUGUUGCUAUUGCUUUGCCCAUUGGACUAACCUGUAGCGAGAAAGGAACCCACAAGGUUUCAUCGGAGAACGCCCCCUGCCACUUUGCUCCGCCACCACCAAUUUCAGAUUUCGACUCUCCCUCUACCUUGCUUCGUCGAGCAUCCCCACACAACCACCAGUCCUUCUAUCUCUUUCCUUUUGGCUGUGUAUGUUACCGAAUCGGACCAGAAAAGGAGAAGACGCCGACGACAGCCACCUCGACAUCUGCUCCACAGUCGGCAGUCGCUGCUACUGUUGCCCUUCGUUUUCCUGCUGCCGGCGACGAGAAAGAACCCUGAGAAGGUUCGCCGGAGAUAGGCUACUCCUCCUCCUUGCUCGACAGAUGAACCGCCGAACCACCCUCCCUUGAUCGAUGUUUCGAUUUCUCUUCCUGCCCACGCAUUCUUUUUGUUUGCUUCGUUCUUCCCUUGGGCAAUCUAUCGGAAACGAGGGCACCAAAAUAAAACCCCGAUCCCUUUUAUUAGUUUGAUGGAUUUGGCAGAACUAACCCUCCAGUUGUAUCUUUUAAUUUCAAACAGCCCCAUUUUAAUAGAUAGAUCAAAAAUGGUCAAUGUUGGUUAAUUUAAGUUAUUAAACAACCAUCCACUUGUCGAGUUAUUACCAAAACAGUCCCACCAGCCUUGUGUUUUAUUUGAAACAUCCCUACACUUGUCUAGUAAUACCAAAAAUCCCCCUUUUUGUUAAUUAAGUGACAAAAAUAGUUAUGGUGGUUUGUUUUAAACUCAAAGAGCGUCAAGUUGCGGUUUCUCACGACAAACUUCACGAACCGAGCCUAGAUCGAGAUCACGCAUCGAAUGUUAUUUAUAAGGUCGGAAGAGUUUGUACAGAAGAUUUUCCGAUAUUCUUAUCAUACAAAUGUGAACGCCGGAUUGUUAGGCGUGUGUAGCGUUUCAGCAAAAACUAUUGUCAAUGUAAUUUCCAUUUCGGUAAUAAUAAAAGAUUAUAUUUGUACUGUUCAA